GAUGAACGCUAGCUACAGGCUUAACACAUGCAAGUCGAGGGGAAACGACAUCGAAAGCUUGCUUUUGAUGGGCGUCGACCGGCGCACGGGUGAGUAACGCGUAUCCAACCUGCCCACCACUUGGGGAUAACCUUGCGAAAGUAAGACUAAUACCCAAUGAUAUCUCUAGAAGACAUCUGAAAGAGAUUAAAGAUUUAUCGGUGAUGGAUGGGGAGGCGUCUGGUUAGCUUGUUGGCGGGGUAACGGCCCACCAAGGCGACGAUCAGUAGGGGGUCUGAGAGGAAGGUCCCCCACAUUGGAACCGAGAAACGGUCCAAACUCCUACGGGAGGCAGCAGUGAGGAAUAUUGGUCAAUGGGCGAGAGCCUGAACCAGCCAAGUAGCGUGCAGGAUGACGGCCCUAUGGGUUGUAAACUGCUUUUAUAAGGGAAUAAAGUGAGCCUCGUGAGGCUUUUUGCAUGUACCUUAUGAAUAAGGACCGGCUAAUUCCGUGCCAGCAGCCGCCGUAA
RNAcentral lists this ribosomal RNA (508 nucleotides) under uncultured bacterium. RNAcentral describes it as "partial 16S ribosomal RNA". It matches the Rfam family "Bacterial small subunit ribosomal RNA", at positions 28 to 523 of the family's 1533-position model. The record is from RNAcentral.